RNAcentral lists this ribosomal RNA (404 nucleotides) under uncultured bacterium. RNAcentral's name for it is "partial 16S ribosomal RNA". It matches the Rfam family "Bacterial small subunit ribosomal RNA", at positions 28 to 526 of the family's 1533-position model. The record is from RNAcentral.
GACGAACGCUGGCGGCGUGCCUAAUACAUGCAAGUCGAACGCAGUGGGGACGGGUGAGUAACACGUGGGUAACCUCCCAUCAGAGGGGAUAACACUUGGAUACAGGUGCUAAAACCGAUACUGAUGGAUGGACCCGCGGUGCAUUAGCGAGUUGGUGGGGUAACGGCCCACCAAGGCCACGAUGCAUAGCGGACCUGAGAGGCUGAGCGGCCACACUGGGACUGAGACACGGCCCAGACUCCUACGGGAGGCAGCAGUGGGGAAUAUUCGGCAAUGGGCUAAAGUCUGACCGAGCAACGCCGCGUGAAUGAAGAAGGUUUGCGGAUCGUAAAACUCUGUUGGUAGAGAAGCGGUAUCUAACCAGAAAGCCACGGCUAACUACGUGCCAGCAGCCGCGGUAAUAC